This 384-nucleotide ribosomal RNA is filed under the name Sulcodius deflexus. RNAcentral's name for it is "partial 12S ribosomal RNA". Lineage: Eukaryota; Metazoa; Arthropoda; Malacostraca; Decapoda; Xanthidae. The record is from RNAcentral.
UUAGAUACCCUAUUAUACUAAUAGUGACCUAAAUUAUUAAUAGAUAUAUUCUUUAAAAUUGAAGAGUGUGGCGGUAGUUUAAUCUUAUUAGAGGAACCUGUUUUUCUAAUUCGAUACACCUCGUAGAAUCUUACUCAUUUUAUUAGUUUAUAUACCGUCAUUAUCAGAUGGUUUCGGAAGAAAAAAUCAUUAAGGUUUAUAGAUUAAUAUAAGUUAAAUUAGAUCAAGGUGUAGCUUAUAAAUGAGUUAAAAUGGGUUACAAUAAAAUUUAUUUAUAUGGAAUGAUUACAGAAAGGUGAUUAUAAAGGAGGAUUUGAUUGUAAUGUGAGUUUAAUAAGCUUAAAAGAAAUAAAGCACUAAACUAUGUACAUAUCGCCCGUCGCU